This 434-nucleotide ribosomal RNA is filed under the name uncultured bacterium. RNAcentral's name for it is "bacterial SSU rRNA". It matches the Rfam family "Bacterial small subunit ribosomal RNA", at positions 355 to 787 of the family's 1533-position model. The record is from RNAcentral.
UGAGGAAUAUUGGUCAAUGGGCGGGAGCCUGAACCAGCCAAGCCGCGUGAGGGAAGAAGGCCCUAUGGGUCGUAAACCUCUUUUGUCAGGGAACAAAAGCGAGUAUGUAUACUAGUCUGAGUGUACCUGAAGGAAAAGCAUCGGCUAACUCCGUGCCAGCAGCCGCGGUAAUACGGAGGAUGCGAGCGUUAUCCGGAUUUAUUGGGUUUAAAGGGUGCGUAGGCGGCGAUGCAAGUCAGCGGUAAAAGCCCGGGGCUCAACCCCGGCGAGCCGUUGAAACUGCAGUGCUAGAGAAGGCGAGAGGUACGCGGAAUGCGCAGUGUAGCGGUGAAAUGCUUAGAUAUUGCGCAGAACUCCGAUUGCGAAGGCAGCGUACUGGCGCCUGACUGACGCUGAGGCACGAAAGCGUGGGGAUCGAACAGGAUUAGAUACCC